RNAcentral lists this ribosomal RNA (100 nucleotides) under Acidobacteriota bacterium. RNAcentral's name for it is "Acidobacteria bacterium partial 16S ribosomal RNA". It matches the Rfam family "Bacterial small subunit ribosomal RNA", at positions 1 to 96 of the family's 1533-position model. The record is from RNAcentral. Lineage: Bacteria; Pseudomonadati; Acidobacteriota.
UUUAACUUGAGAGUUUGAUCCUGGCUCAGAAUCAACGCUGGCGGCGUGCCUUAUACAUGCAAGUCGUACGCGAAAGUAGCCUUCGGGCUGCGAGUAGAGU